Molecule: ribosomal RNA, 377 nt
Filed under: uncultured organism
Description: partial 16S ribosomal RNA
Rfam family: Bacterial small subunit ribosomal RNA
Source: RNAcentral
GUAGGUGGCAAGCGUUGUCCGGGAAUUAUUGGGGCGUAAAGCGCGCGCAGGCGGUUCUUUAAGUCUGAUGUGAAAGCCCACGGGCUCAACCGUGGGAGGGUCAUUGGAAACUGGAGAACUUGAGUACAGAAGAGGAAAGCGGAAUUCCACGUGUAGCGGUGAAAUGCGUAGAGAUGUGGAGGAACACCAGUGGCGAAGGCGGCUUUCUGGUCUGUAACUGACGCUGAGGCGCGAAAGCGUGGGGAGCAUACAGGAUUAGAUACCCUGGUAGUCCACGCCGUAAACGAUGAGUGCUAAGUGUUAGGGGGUUUCCGCCCCUUAGUGCUGCAGCUAACGCAUUAAGCACUCCGCCUGGGGAGUACGGCCGCAAAGGCUGA